Molecule: ribosomal RNA, 423 nt
Filed under: uncultured Glomeromycotina
Lineage: Eukaryota; Fungi; Glomeromycota
Description: SSU rRNA
Rfam family: Eukaryotic small subunit ribosomal RNA
Source: RNAcentral
CGGUACGUACUGGCAUUGUUGGUUUCUCCCUUCUGACGAACCAUGAUGUCAUUUAUUUGGUGUUGUGGGGAAUCAGGACUGUUACUUUGAAAAAAUUAGAGUGUUUAAAGCAGGCUCACGCUUGAAUACAUUAGCAUGGAAUAAUGAAAUAGGACGUUUGAUUCUAUUUUGUUGGUUUCUAGGAUCGACGUAAUGAUUAAUAGGGAUAGUUGGGGGCAUUAGUAUUCAAUUGUCAGAGGUGAAAUUCUUGGAUUUAUUGAAGACUAACUACUGCGAAAGCAUUUGCCAAGGAUGUUUUCAUUAAUCAAGAACGAAAGUUAGGGGAUCGAAGACGAUCAGAUACCGUCGUAGUCUUAACCAUAAACUAUGCCGACCAGGGAUCGGAUGAUGUUAAUUUUUUAAUGACUCAUUCGGCGCCUUACG